AUGUCUCCACCGCCGGCGUCACCCGCGCUGUCGGCGCAGAAGCUGACGACCAACGACGCCCUGGCCUACCUCAAGGCCGUCAAGGACAAGUUCCACGACAACCGCGCCAAGUACGACGAGUUCCUCGAGGUCAUGCGCGACUUCAAGAGCGCCAGGAUCGACACGGCGGGCGUCAUCAUCCGGGUGAAGACGCUCUUCAGCGGCUACCCGGAGCUCAUCCUCGGCUUCAACGCCUUCCUGCCCAAGGGCUUCGCUAUCAAGCUGCAGGACAUCGACGGCACCGGCGACAAGAAGCAGCCCGUCGACUUCAUGGAGGCCAUCAACUUCGUCAACAAGAUCAAGGCCAGGUUCCAGGCCCAGGACCACGUCUACAAGGCAUUCCUCGCCAUCCUCAACAUGUACCGCAUGCACAACAAGUCCAUCCAGGACGUAUACCAGGAGGUUGCCACGCUGUUCCACGACCACCCCGACCUGCUCGAGGAGUUCAAGCAUUUCUUGCCUGAUACGUCCAACGCUCCGCAAGUGCUGGCCGCUCCUAAAGCCGUCUCCGCCAAACAGGAAGCCCCGGCCGUGCCUUCUGCCAGUGCCAGGAAUGUGCAGAGCAUCAAGAGAGAGAGGCCUCAGCCAUCAACUGCUGAGCGUGACAGCAGUGUUGAUCGCCCUGAUCUCGAGCAUGACCCUGACAGAAAGCGUGUCGACAAGGAAAAGGAUCGUAAGAUCGACCGGGACAGAAAAGAUCAUGACAAGGAUGCUGAGUUUGAAAGCAAAGAUUUGGACGGAGGGCUACGCAAGCGCAAAGCUUUCUCAAAGAAGCUGGAGGGUGACACACACCAAGGGGCGGCAAGCAUCUCUGCUUCGUCGUACAAUGAUAAUGAUGCACUGAAAAGUACAUACACCCAAGAGUUCCUUUUCUGUGAGAAAGUCAAGGAGAAGCUAGAGCCUGAAGCUUACCAGGAGUUUUUGAAAUGCCUUCACAUAUACAGCCAGGAAAUAAUUACAAGAAGUGAAUUGAAAAAUCUGGUACAUGACAUACUUCAGCGCUACCCAGAGCUUAUGACUGGAUUUAGCGAGUUCUUGGAACAUUGUGAAAACAUAGAUGGUUUUCUGGAUGGAGUCAUCAAUAAAAGGCAAACAUCACGAACAGUCAAGGCAUUGGAAAAAGAGAGAGAUAAAGGGCGUGCAGGGGAGGACAGGGAAAGAGAUGCUGAAAAACUGAGCGAAAAGGAACGAGAAAAGCUUGAUAAAGUGUCUGCGCUCAAUUCUAAGGAAGCCACUACCCACAAAGCUGCUGCGUUCUCUUCUACCAAAGAGAAGUACCUAUGCAAGCCAAUAUCAGAGCUUGACCUCUCAAACUGUCAGCGGUGCACUCCCAGUUACCGACUUUUGCCUAAAAAUUACCCCGUCCCUGCUUCAAGUUGCAGAACUGACCUUGGAAUCUCUGUGCUCAAUGAUCACUGGGUAUCAGUUACCUCAGGAAGCGAGGAUUAUUCAUUUAAACACAUGCGGAAGAAUCAGUAUGAAGAAAGCUUGUUUAGAUGCGAAGAUGACAGGUUUGAGUUGGACAUGCUGCUGGAAUCAGUUAAUGUGGCGAUUAAGCGUGUUGAGGAGUUGAUAGAAAAAAUGCAAGAAAAUUCAAUCAAACCAGACAGCCCUAUACGCAUCGAUGAACAUUUGACCUCUCUGAAUUUGAGGUGCAUAGAGCGGUUAUAUGGUGACCAUGGCCUUGAUGUCAUGGAUGUUCUUCGUAAAAAUGCGAGUGUGGCAUUACCAGUUAUUUUAACUAGGCUUAAGCAAAAGCAGGAGGAAUGGUCAAGGUGCAGGUCAGAUUUUAACAAGGUUUGGGCUGAAAUAUAUGCCAAGAAUUAUCACAAGUCCCUUGACCAUCGCAGUUUCUAUUUCAAACAACAAGAUUCGAAGAAUCUGAGCACAAGAGCUCUAUUGUCUGAGAUCAAAGAAAUUAAUGAGAAGAAAAGGAAGGAGGAUGAUGUGCUUCUUGCCAUUGCUGCUGGGAAUAGGCGGCCAAUAGUUCCCAAUAUGUCAUUUGAGUAUGUAGAUUCAGAAAUUCAUGAAGAUGUUUAUCAGAUCAUCAAGUACUCUUGUGGAGAGGUCUGCAGCUCUCCAGAUCAAGUUGACAAAGUGAUGAGAACCUGGACGACAUUUGUGGAACCUAUUUUGGGAGUUCAACCCCGAACUCCUGCCGUUGAAGAUGUAGGUGUGGUAAAAUCGAAGAGCCGAACCCCCACGACUGGUCUUGCAAGUGCAGGGGAAAGUAAUAAUGUAAUAUCAAACGGCGCAGUCACUGUUAAGCAAGCCAAUGGAGAUGAAAGCAUUCUGAAGGAACAAGCACAAUCUUCUCGUGGUUUAUUGGCGAAUGGAGUUUCAGAAGAUGCUCAAAAUGGUUUCCAUGAUGCUGAUCGAACUGUCCGCAGAGGUGAGGGGCCAUCUAACACUUCAUUACAUCAGACAGAACAGAAUCAGCGGAGAACAAAUAUGGAGCUUACAUCAGGUACUAAUUCUUCUAGAGGUAAUUUCUCUGGAAGUGAGUCUGUUGUUGAAGCUAUGGGUGGCAAUGAAACAAUUCCAUCUAUAGGGAGAGGAGAAGCUGGGAGGCCAGGAUCUGUGCCUCAGAAGAAUUCAAAGGUUGAAAGAGAAGAGGGAGAAUUAUCUCCUAAUGGGGAUUUUGAAGAGGAGAAUUUUGGGCCUCUAGGAAAUGCAGCUGUAGACGGAGCUUUGAAGCCGAAAGAAGUUUCUGCUGGUAGAACUAGAGCAGCUGAGUUUGCUGGAGAGAAUGACGCUGAUGCGGAUGAUGAAGGUGACGAAAGUGCCCAGAGAUCUACAGAAAGUGAAAAUGCAUCUGAGGCUGGCGAGGACGCUUCUGGUAGUGAAUCUGGUGACGGCGAGGAGUGUUCUCGGGAAGACAACGAGGACGAGGAGGAUGCUGAUCAUGAUGAUCCUGAUGCUAAGGUUGAAAGUGAGGGUGAGGCAGAGGGAAACACAGGCGCACAUGAUGCCGAUGGAGGGAUGUCACUAUCCUUUUCAGAGCGUUUGCAUAAUACAGUUAGACCACUCGCCAAGCAUGUCCCCACAGCAUUGCAGGAUCAUGGUGGGAAAUUUUCACGCAUAUUUUAUGGAAAUGAUUCAUUUUAUGUUCUGUUCAGGCUACACCAGAUCUUAUACGAGAGGCUCCUAUCAGCCAAGACAAACUCUUCUACAGCUGAAAAGAAGUGGAGAACUUCCAAGGAUACGAGCUCCCCACACCAAUACUCAAAGUUUAUGGGUGCACUUUAUAACUUGAUUGAUGGCUCUUCUGACAACACCAAAUUCGAGGACGACUGCCGUUCAAUCAUCGGGACUCAGUCCUAUGUUCUUUUUACAUUAGAUAAGCUGAUAUACAAAGUUGUGAAGCAGCUUCAAGCAAUAGCAGCUGAUGAAAUGGAUAACAAGCUCCUCCAGCUUUAUAUAUAUGAGAAGUCCAGGUCUCCUGGAAGGUUCUUUGAUCUAGUUUACCAUGAAAAUGCUCGGGUUCUUCUCCAUGACGAGAGCAUAUAUCGAUUUGAACGGCGCUCAAAUCCUACGAGAUUAUCUGUUCAGCUCAUGGAGUAUGGGCAUGAAAAGCCUGAAGUAACUGCAGUCUCAAUUGAUCCAAACUUUUCGUCAUAUCUUCAUGACGAGUACUUGUCGAGUAUUUCGGAUUCAAAAGUGUCUGAAGAUGUGUUCCUUGAGAGGAAUAAGCGGAAACGCGGGAGCAGCAAUGGUCCUCAAGCUUCCUUAGCGGUCAUGGAUGGUUUCAAGGUCGCGAAUGGCCUUGAAUGCAAGAUAACCUGCAAAUCCUCAAAGGUUUCAUAUGUCCUUGAUACAGAAGACUUUUUAUUCCGUAUGAGGAACAGGAGGAGAAUCUCAUCUGGUGCAACCGCCGCACCUGGCAAGGCCGAUUUUGUCAAGGCAGCUGAUGUCGUGAAAGCACAGCGGUUUCAUAAAUUUCUUCUUUCUAGGUCCUAG
RNAcentral lists this ribosomal RNA (3999 nucleotides) under Triticum aestivum (bread wheat). Its description in RNAcentral is "partial small subunit ribosomal RNA". Lineage: Eukaryota; Viridiplantae; Streptophyta; Magnoliopsida; Poales; Poaceae. The record is from RNAcentral.